RNAcentral lists this ribosomal RNA (254 nucleotides) under uncultured bacterium. RNAcentral describes it as "partial 16S ribosomal RNA". It matches the Rfam family "Bacterial small subunit ribosomal RNA", at positions 524 to 776 of the family's 1533-position model. The record is from RNAcentral.
UACGUAGGGAGCAAGCGUUGUCCGGAUUUAUUGGGCGUAAAGAGCUCGUAGGCGGCUUAGCAAGUCAGGUGUGAAAACUCUGGGCUUAACCCAGAGACGCCACUUGAUACUUCUAUGGCUUGAGUUCGGUAGGGGACCAUGGAAUUCCUGGUGUAGCGGUGAAAUGCGCAGAUAUCAGGAGGAACACCGAUGGCGAAGGCAGUGGUCUGGGCCGAUACUGACGCUGAGGAGCGAAAGCGUGGGGAGCGAACAGG